AUGCAAAAAGGAAGCGAGAGAGGAGUACAGCGAGAAUUGAAGGGGGUCGCGGUGGGCAAUACCGCUUUCCAGCGGAAGGGGGCACCUUUGCGGCCGUGGGAGCGUUCCCUGGGGCGGGGCGGGACGCCUGGCGAGCCAGCCCUGCAGCUCCGGCCCUGGGGUGCUGGCGCCCCCUCCUGGCUGCUGUGCGGCCGCUCCCUGCUUCUCGCCGGUGCUCGGGUCCAGAAACUGUCCCGCCCCCGGCGCCGGGGAAGAAGGGGCAGAGGGGAGGAAGGUCAGGAGAGAGAGAGGGUUUGGUCAGGUGAUCGCUCCUCCCUUCCCUCCCCGUGCCUGCCCGCGGCUUCCUUACCUGGGGACUGCGGAGCUCCUUCCCCGCGAGCUCAGCUCCUGCGGGCCUCUUGGCGGCUGCGCUCCCACCCCAAUCCGAGCCUGCCGAGGAGUCCGCCCGCCUCACGAAAUGGCCCCGGUCUUGCCGCAGCAGCUGGGAGGGAGGGAGCGACUGCCGGCUGCUGCCGGGCGGCGUCUGGGGGCUGCAAGCCGAGCGCAAGGAGCCGCCAUCUGGAGCCUCGGCAGCGGGCGGGGGUGGGGGUGCAGGAGAAGGGGCCUGACGGCUCGGCCCCAGGCUGGCGCGGGGCAGGGCUCUGGCGUGGGAGCGGCGCCCAGUCGCCCCAAGUACUUGCGUGUGUGUCGCGGGAGGGGUGGUGUUGGUGUGUGUGUGAGGGGCACGGCCCCUGGGGAAGAGGAGCGGAGGCCUGCCCUCUUCAAGUCCCGCAGAUUACAGGGCAGCCGUUACUCGCAGGUUUAGCGAAAGAGAGGGAACCCUCUUGGCAACCCCCAGCCCCUUCCAGCCAUUCUCCUGGGAUGGAGGACUGGGCGAGGGGAGCCCAAACACUCCUACAGGCGCACACACCCGCUGUCCAUCAGAAGUGGUUUGCUCAUUUCCCUCUCCUCCCACCAUGUCCACCCCUCUCCAGGAAGCAUUCCUCCCCAAACGGCACGGAGUUUCGGACGCCUCCACGUUAA
Molecule: long non-coding RNA, 1023 nt
Organism: Callithrix jacchus (white-tufted-ear marmoset)
Lineage: Eukaryota; Metazoa; Chordata; Mammalia; Primates; Cebidae
Source: Ensembl